AUUGAACGCUGGCGGCAUGCCUUACACAUGCAAGUCGAACGGUAACAGGUCUUCGGAUGCUGACGAGUGGCGAACGGGUGAGUAAUACAUCGGAACGUGCCUAGUAGUGGGGGAUAACUACUCGAAAGAGUGGCUAAUACCGCAUGAGAUCUACGGAUGAAAGCAGGGGAUCGCAAGACCUUGUGCUACUAGAGCGGCCGAUGGCAGAUUAGGUAGUUGGUGGGAUAAAAGCUUACCAAGCCGACGAUCUGUAGCUGGUCUGAGAGGACGAUCGGCCACACUGGGACUGAGACACGGCACAGACUCCUACGGGAGGCAGCAGGGGGGAAUUUUGGACAAUGGGCGCAAGCCUGAUCCAGCAAUGCCGCGUGCAGGAUGAAGGCCUUCGGGUUGUAAACUGCUUUUGUACGGAACGAAAAGCCCCGGGUUAAUACCCUGGGGUCAUGACGGUACCGUAAGAAUAAGCACCGGCUAACUACGUGCCAGCCGCCGCAGUAA
This 498-nucleotide ribosomal RNA is filed under the name uncultured bacterium. RNAcentral's name for it is "partial 16S ribosomal RNA". It matches the Rfam family "Bacterial small subunit ribosomal RNA", at positions 30 to 523 of the family's 1533-position model. The record is from RNAcentral.